AGUGAACGCUGGCGGUAGGCCUAACACAUGCAAGUCGAACGGCAGCACAGUAAGAGCUUGCUCUUACGGGUGGCGAGUGGCGGACGGGUGAGGAAUACAUCGGAAUCUACUUUUUCGUGGGGGAUAACGUAGGGAAACUUACGCUAAUACCGCAUACGACCUACGGGUGAAAGCAGUGGAUCUUCGGACCUUGCGCGAUUGAAUUAGCCGAUGUCGGAUUAGCUAGUUGGCGGGGUAAAGGCCCACCAAGGCGACGAUCCGUAGCUGGUCUGAGAGGAUGAUCAGCCACACUGGAACUGAGACACGGUCCAGACUCCUACGGGAGGCAGCAGUGGGGAAUAUUGGACAAUGGGCGCAAGCCUGAUCCAGCAAUACCGCGUGGGUGAAGAAGGCCUUCGGGUUGUAAAGCCCUUUUGUUGGGAAAGAAAAGCAGCAGGUUAAUACCCCGCUGUUCUGACGGUACCCAAAGAAUAAGCACCGGCUAACUUCGUG
RNAcentral lists this ribosomal RNA (492 nucleotides) under uncultured bacterium. RNAcentral's name for it is "partial 16S ribosomal RNA". It matches the Rfam family "Bacterial small subunit ribosomal RNA", at positions 29 to 507 of the family's 1533-position model. The record is from RNAcentral.